This is a long non-coding RNA of Dermochelys coriacea (leatherback sea turtle), 1089 nucleotides long. RefSeq lists it as uncharacterized. Lineage: Eukaryota; Metazoa; Chordata; Testudines; Dermochelyidae. The transcript has 3 exons. The record is from RefSeq and is a predicted model, not a curated record.
CAGAUUAAAAUUUAGCUUUAGGCUUUCUGUUUACUUGAAAGGGCAUAUUGUUUAUAUCUCUUCUAGCUAAACUCAGCAUUGUGAAGUGGUUGGUUUUUUUUUCUUUAUAGGAAGUUUAAAACUUCAGGUCCGUGUUGUGUGUCAGAAUGCUAAUAUUCCAAUGACCCAGUGGGGUUUCCCCUGAGGAAUCCAGUAAACAUUUGAAAAUAAUUGAAAUCAACUUAUGGUUGACCCAUGAAACAAAUGAACUAUUUGCUGUGAUCUAAUGCCUUUAUGUAAAUUUGACUGUGAAUUCUGUGUAUCAGGCUGUUGUUGCCUGUGGCUGCCCACCUCCUUCACCUUUUUUGGAGGAAACUAGGGGCUUGGCUACACUUGCAGAUGUAGAGUGCUUUGGGUUAAAUCAGCCUUCGUACAACGCAGUAGGGAAAGUGCUCCAGUCUGUCCACACUGACAGCUGAAAGCACACUGGCCUGGCCACAUUUGCAGCACUUGCAGCUGCAUUAGGAGUGGUGCAUCAUGGGCAGCUAUCCUAACAUUCAAGUGGCUGCAACAUGCUUUUCAAAUGGGGAGGGAGUAGGGUGGAGUGUGUUGUGUGUAUGUGGGGGGAGAGAGAGUGGGUUUUUGGGGUGCUGAGUGUGUGUCAGCACGCUAUCUUGUAAGUAUAGAUCCCCCUCCCUCCCCCGCCUCUCUCACUCACUCACUCAAAGCAAACAUUAGCUGUUUAUUUUUUUCUCGGAGCUGAUAAGCAGCCGGCAGGCCGAAACCGAGCUUUGAAAGGGCCACUUCCGCAUUCGUGCUGGAGUUCACAACAAAGACAAGAAAGGCCACUUCAGUUAAUGGGCUUAUGGGACGUUUCCAGAGGGCAAUCAGAGCGCUGUAACAUAACUCCUCGUUCACACUGACACUGUAGCGUCUCGCCCAAUAUGCAGCAAACCUUAUCCCUGGAGUACCAGCAGCGCUAUAGCCAGGGAGUCAGAGUGCUCUACGUGCCUUGCCAGUGUGGACGGGGAGUGAGUUAUAGCGCUCUGGGUGGCUUUAUUGCGGUAUAACGUGCAAGUGUAGCCAAGGCCUAGGUAUGGAAGGGUUGGG